AUGAGAACUCUGUGCUGGAACUGUCGUGGAAUUGGCGAUCCCGCGACGGUUAGAGAGCUCUGUGAGCUCAUUCGGGAGUGUGCACCGUCGGUGGUCUAUAUUGUGGAGACACAAUUAUCGAAACGGAGGGUGGAGGGUCUGACGACGACGUUAGGCUUUGAAGGAGGGUUUGCAGUAGCUAGCUCUGGUAGGAGUGGAGGUUUAGGAAUUUUCUGGAAGGAUGGUCUG
RNAcentral lists this ribosomal RNA (228 nucleotides) under Triticum aestivum (bread wheat). RNAcentral's name for it is "partial small subunit ribosomal RNA". The record is from RNAcentral. Lineage: Eukaryota; Viridiplantae; Streptophyta; Magnoliopsida; Poales; Poaceae.